This 660-nucleotide ribosomal RNA is filed under the name uncultured Ornithinicoccus sp. Its description in RNAcentral is "bacterial SSU rRNA". It matches the Rfam family "Bacterial small subunit ribosomal RNA", at positions 120 to 793 of the family's 1533-position model. The record is from RNAcentral. Lineage: Bacteria; Bacillati; Actinomycetota; Actinomycetes; Micrococcales; Intrasporangiaceae.
AGUAACCUGCCCCUCACUCCGGGAUAACUCCGGGAAACCGGUGCUAAUACUGGAUACGACCCAAGCGGGCAUCCGCAUUGGGUGGAAAGUUUUUCGGUGAGGGAUGGACUCGCGGCCUAUCAGCUUGUUGGUGAGGUAAUGGCUCACCAAGGCGACGACGGGUAGCCGGCCUGAGAGGGCGACCGGCCACACUGGGACUGAGACACGGCCCAGACUCCUACGGGAGGCAGCAGUGGGGAAUAUUGCACAAUGGGCGAAAGCCUGAUGCAGCGACGCCGCGUGAGGGAUGACGGCCUUCGGGUUGUAAACCUCUUUCAGCAGGGACGAAGCUUUUGUGACGGUACCUGCAGAAGAAGCACCGGCUAACUACGUGCCAGCAGCCGCGGUAAUACGUAGGGUGCGAGCGUUGUCCGGAAUUAUUGGGCGUAAAGAGCUUGUAGGCGGUCUGUCGCGUCUGCUGUGAAAACUCGGGGCUUAACCCCGAGCCUGCAGUGGGUACGGGCAGACUAGAGUAUGGUAGGGGAGACUGGAAUUCCUGGUGUAGCGGUGGAAUGCGCAGAUAUCAGGAGGAACACCGAUGGCGAAGGCAGGUCUCUGGGCCAUAACUGACGCUGAGAAGCGAAAGCGUGGGGAGCGAAAAGGGAUUAGAUACCCCUGUAG